This 542-nucleotide long non-coding RNA is filed under the name Homo sapiens (human). Its description in RNAcentral is "HSALNT0407279". Lineage: Eukaryota; Metazoa; Chordata; Mammalia; Primates; Hominidae. The record is from RNAcentral.
ACCCUGGAGAAAGAAUCUUACAAAGAAUACUAAAGAGCAUCCAAGUGUGAAGAAUGAAACACACAAUGCACAUGAAGUCCAGCCAUGGUGUAGCCAAGGAGACCCACUAAGACCACCAAAAGCUUGGAAAUGAGGAUGCAGGGGCAAAGGACGGCAUUAUAGGCGCACACUUGAUUUCCUAGAAGUCUCGGACAAACUUUGGCAUGCAGACAGCUUUCCACUUCAAGAGUUUGCCCUUCACUUCUGACAUCACUCUCCAGAAUCAUGAGCACAACCCAGAAAUGUGGUUCUUGAGACCACCUUGCAAAUAAAUGACCUAUACCCAAUCUUCAUCUCAGCAUCUGUUUUGAGGGAAUUCAAACUAAGACAGGAGCCCAGAGAAGCUAAAGGAUUUCUGUUCCUUUUCCCUGGGGAGGCUACUCUUCCCACUAAAUGAACUUCUUUUCUGAAGAUCCACUGAACUGGCAGAGUCCAUUCAAUGAGACAUCUUGAGCCUCAGCCCCUGAAGCUCCACGCCAAGGCUCUCAACAUGAUUCUAUUCC